UACAGAGGUCCCAAGCGUUGUUCGGAUUCACUGGGCGUAAAGGGUGCGUAGGUGGCCAGGUAAGUUUGGUGUGAAAGCUCGGAGCUUAACUCCGAAAAGUCAUUGAAUACUAUCUGGCUGGAGGGUCGGAGGGGAGACUGGAAUUCUCGGUGUAGCAGUGAAAUGCGUAGAUAUCGAGAGGAACACCGGUGGCGAAGGCGGCGAUCUGGACGAUGACUGACGCUGAGACGCGAAAGCGUGGGGAGCAAACAGG
This 253-nucleotide ribosomal RNA is filed under the name uncultured bacterium. RNAcentral's name for it is "partial 16S ribosomal RNA". It matches the Rfam family "Bacterial small subunit ribosomal RNA", at positions 524 to 776 of the family's 1533-position model. The record is from RNAcentral.